AUUGAACGCUGGCGGCAUGCUUUACACAUGCAAGUCGAACGGCAGCGCGGGCUUCGGCCUGGCGGCGAGUGGCGAACGGGUGAGUAAUGCAUCGGAACGUGCCCAGUAGUGGGGGAUAGCCCGGCGACAGCCGGAUUAAUACCGCAUACGACCUGAGGGUGAAAGCGGGGGACCGAAAGACCUCGCGCUAUUGGAGCGGCCGAUGUCGGAUUAGCUAGUUGGUGGGGUAAAGGCUUACCAAGGCGACGAUCCGUAGCUGGUCUGAGAGGACGACCAGCCACACUGGGACUGAGACACGGCCCAGACUCCUACGGGAGGCAGCAGUGGGGAAUUUUGGACAAUGGGGGCAACCCUGAUCCAGCCAUGCCGCGUGCGGGAAGAAGGCCUUCGGGUUGUAAACCGCUUUUGUUCGGAAAGAAAUCCUCUGGGCUAAUACCCCGGGGGGAUGACGGUACCGGAAGAAUAAGCACCGGCUAACUACGUG
This 484-nucleotide ribosomal RNA is filed under the name uncultured bacterium. Its description in RNAcentral is "partial 16S ribosomal RNA". It matches the Rfam family "Bacterial small subunit ribosomal RNA", at positions 29 to 507 of the family's 1533-position model. The record is from RNAcentral.